RNAcentral lists this non-coding RNA (114 nucleotides) under Ditylum brightwellii. Lineage: Eukaryota; Bacillariophyta; Thalassiosirophyceae; Lithodesmiales; Lithodesmiaceae. The record is from RNAcentral.
GCAAAGCAAGUGCUUGAGAUAGACUAGAAACCAGCAUUCUUCAUUUCCCGUCUCUACGACGGCUUUAUCAAAUCAACCAAACCUUUUCCUUCUAACAGCAGAGUAAAAAGCAAA